This 8083-nucleotide long non-coding RNA is filed under the name Cricetulus griseus (Chinese hamster). RNAcentral's name for it is "lncRNA (ENSCGRG00015019157.2)". Lineage: Eukaryota; Metazoa; Chordata; Mammalia; Rodentia; Cricetidae. The record is from RNAcentral.
CGCGCGAGUCGGUUGCUCGCGGACCCGGCCUUGGAGACGCAGGUUCGGAGCCCUGAGAUUUGAAUGGCGUCGCGCCGUGGACUUUUGUUGAGAGAAUCAGCCUCCAACCCACAACAUCGUGGUGAAUGGGAAAGAAUGUGUAAACUUUGCCUCCUUUAAUUUUCUCGGGUUGCUGGCCAACCCCCGGGUGAAGGUGAGUAGCACAUGAGAGUGAUGUUGGGGAGGACACUGCUGGCUGCAGAACGCUGUAGAAGACAGGCCUGGGUCAUCCGCGAGGACAGUGUUUCCCAUUCUGUCUGACGGAACCAGAAUCUGGACUUGGACCAUGCAGGGCAGUGUCUGGUGGGCUCAGUGUGGAUGGCAGCCAGAGAACCUAGGAAGCCAGGCCUGUGGAGUAGCGAGAGAACAGCCAAGAUGUUGCCCAGCUCCUGUUAGGAUUGGGGCUUGCAGACAUCCUCAGGAAAGCCUGGUCGUCACUGAGCUUUUAGAAGCAGACGAAUGUCACUUCUCCAUUGCUUCAGUCUUAUGUCUCAUUUACUAAUCUGUGUUUCCUAAAUCCUGUUGGAACUGCUGUAGUUACAAGAAAGGGGGAAAGCGAGAGAGAGGAAGAGGAGCCAGAUGGGGCCUAGAGCGGGACGUGUCGCCUGACUUGUUGGAAUUGCCAUAGACCCGGGGAAGAAGGGAAGGGGUGGGCAGGGCUGCCAUGUGGUGAAGAAUGGGGAGGGUGGUCAGGACCACGCAUGGGGAGUCACUAGCACAUUUGCUUCUGUUUCCAUAAUCACAGUAUUAUUAAUAGUAAUGACAAAGAAGAAACUAGGAGAUGGUGAGAAGUCAAAUGUCACUCACUGUCCCCUCUUGUGGAGCCAUAAACUCCAGAAGCAGUACUAAUGUGGACCAGACAUACAUUUUCUGUGGCCUAGCACUACAGACACGAGCUCCACAUAAAAUACACACAGAGGAAGUAAUGUCUAAAAUUUUAAUUACUUCCAAUAUGGAAAAGCACUCGGCUUUCCAGAUAGCACACGCUGACAGGGGCAGUGCCUAGGACAGUGCACAGGGUUCCCUGGGGCAAGUGGUGCCUGUGCUCUGUGCUGAUAGUAGCUGGCACGGGACACAGGUUCUCUCGACACCUGGGCCCAGUUGUUAGCAUAGGGCAUCGACUUCUUCGUGGAAUGUUGGCUGUGUACCUGGUGUUUGGCUUGAUGAACAAAGCCAGUGUUUCCUUGGGCUAUUUUUGAUUGUGCAGUAGGAAUUCUGUGGUGGCGGACAUGCCUACUCACUGGAGCAUGGGGUCUGUCUUGGUGCGCACUUUUCCUUGAGGGAGCACAUCUAUGGUGAAUCCCCAGUUUCUCCUCUAGGAUUGGUCCAGCAGAGGUCUUGAGGUCCUGUGCUUCAGUGUUCUCCUGAGGCAUGAAUGAUCUGCUCAUGCCGGACCCUCGACUGUGGGUGGUGCCAGAUAAGGCCCGGACUUUUUGCAGUAAGUUCUCCUGCCCUUUGUCUUUGGGGGUCAAAAUUGAAACAAUGAAGUUUUUUAUUUUGUCCCCAAACUUCUUUUCAUGGGUAUUUGACCCAGAGGCUUGGACAGGCCUUGUCCCUGAACGCUGCACGUCCUGCCUGAGACUUCCACAGACCUUUUUAUUAUUUGGACCAAAUAUAUGGCUAGUCCUUGGUUCCUGAGUUUGGGAAAUCUUGGUGAGAUUCCUUUCUCUUGAGAUGAGAGGGUGUCUGUCAUGAGACUUUGACUGAAUUGAAGGGGACAGAGUCUUGGAACGGAAUUUGGAGGCCCUGGAAGCUAGGAUAUCUGCAGCAAGCAGAACCUCCGGAGCACAGUCUUGAAGGAAUGUUCCAGUGGCAUAGUCCUGCAGGACAACACCUGCAGGGGCCAGGCAGUGAGGUGUGCUCAGACCUGAGUCUUCUGGAUCCUGGGAAAUGGGUCUGAAACGGGAUGGAGUCUCACUGGUCUCCUGUGAUUCACUGUUGGUUGGAGACUUUGCCAACUCCCCAGCUUCCGUGGUGAGCCCCCAGGAAGAAGACUCUUCCUCCUCUGCCUCUUCCAGACGCCAGGCACCUUACUGUCUUUGGUAUGUCUCCACCCCCUGCUUGAGCAGUUUUUCAGGGUUUCUUCCGUCUUCUCCUUUCCUCGUCCCACUAGGGAAACACUUUGUGCAUCUCUUCUUGGGAGGCUCAUGUGGUAAGUUUCCUCCUCUGUCUCUGAGAUUUCCUCAAGAACUUUGCCUAGGGGACCUUCUGGGCUCCUGUACAGAUCUCUCUUUGUUCUUUGCAAGCAGUCUAUCAGAUCCAUGCCUGGAUCCCUCCAUGUCUGGAAUAUCUCUGGACCCUCUGAGUGGACACUCUGUGGAGGCUGGCUGUUGUCAUCUGCCCGUGACGAGGGGCAUGGACUGCUAUGAUUACCUUCUUCCUGACUUGUUACUGACAGUUUGUCCUGAGACGUCAUAAGGUCCAGAGAUAGUUGGACCUUGUGGGGCUGUUGGCCCUGUUGUAUGAAUCUCGUUAGUAACUGCUGUUCUAACUGCUCCUGAAACCUGGUCUGAAUGAAUUCCCCCGGGAGUUGGACAACAGACCCAUGGCCCUUGGACACCCAACUAUUUGAAGUGAGUGGAUUCCAAGCUUCGUGGGACUUUUUCACCAUGACUGGGUGAUUGCUGAAAUAUCAGAGAAGCAGAUGAGCCAGCCAUUAGAGAAACUUCUUACCUCUAGAAAUCUCAGACAAAAAAGGGCUGAGCUACUGUGUAUACCCCACAUUAUCACUUCUACUCUCUGCCCAACCAUAUCACUUCCUGUCUCCUGAAUGUACAGACCUCCAGACCUCUAUGGUUAACUAAUGGCUAGCACCAACUGCUGAUCUUCUGGCAAGUGUUAUUUGUCAGAACAUAAACAAACUACUAAAACACCAGGCCUAAACCAUUCUAGGAGGCCUACCUCAACCACCCCAGGCCUUGACCACUCAGGCAGCCUUUCCUCAACCAACCCAGGCCUUAAUAACUCAAGCAGGCCUAUUUCAACAAACCAGGCCUUAACCAUUCUAGGAGACAUCCCUCAACCACCCCGGGCCUUGACCACUCAGGGCGCCUUACUUCAACCAAACUAGGCAUUAAUCACUCAAGCAGGCCAACCUCAACCAUCCCAGGUCUUGACCACUUAGGCAGCCCUACCUCAACCAACCCAGGCCUUAAUCAUUCAAGCAGGCCUAUGUCAACCACUCCAGGCCUUAACCGUUCUAGGAGGCCUCCCUCAACCAUCCCAGAUCUUCACCACCCAAGCAGGCCCAUGCCAACCACCCCAGGCUUUGACCACUCAAGAAGGCCUAACUCAAGCCUUUCCUGGUACCAGGUUGCUGCCAAAACCUGAUGCCACUCCAGCUCAUCUCAUGAUGAAUCCUUGCAAGAGCAUCUUUCUCUCAGCCUCCAAGAUGCCUCGUUCUAGACAGGCCCCACAUCCAGGCAGAUGGAGGCUGGGGCACCCUCUUUCAUCAACCCUGAUAUCCAGGACAUGCUGGAAUUUCAGCUCAGCAAAAGAGUAGAACUAAAUGUUUGGAAGGGGAAAGGAAAAGAAUCAUCUGACCAUGCCUGGGCCACAUGGGCAAUAUCCUGCUGUCCUGGAGCAGCAAGUAGACCGCUACCACAUCAUGGCCCUUCUGGAACAGAAACUGCAAAUCAGGGCAGUUUUUAGGACAUUAGCAGUUCUUCUGCCAGAAGGUCUCAGGGAGAAAUUUAUAUCAGAAAUGUAGCCAGUUUUUCUGGGGCCUCACUUUCUCCACAGUGAGUCCCAAUGCCUACUGUCAACAUGGCACGAGCUCUCUACUUACAUCCCGGUACAACUUCAGACUAAUAUACCUCCACAGCUCUUUCCUACAAAGGCCUUGAUUCAUCACUUGGUCAAAUGCCAACCUUUGACUCAGAAGCUGUCCUGGACCUGAGCUCCACCAGUGGCUGCCAUCCAAACCAGGCCCCAGCCCCAUACUCUCUCCAGAAACUACCAAGCCAUUCACCUCCAAUUAGGGAUGAUGGGGCUUCUUGUCCUAAAGAUUCAUGAUCCCAAUUUAUUGUCCCACCUGCUGUUAGACACCUAGAGUGCCACCUUUUGAAGAAGCACCUAGAAAGUAAGACUGAUUUAUCAAACAUGGUUAAAAAGUAACAUAUACUGUUUGAUCAACUAACUUCCAAGAGCUGGGUACCCCAUAGACUGUAGACUGUUGUCUGCUGCCCAGGGGACCUUUUUAACCCCGAGCUCUGAGAGCAGAUGGAAGGACACUUAAAAACGAGAUUCACACAACACCAGGACUAACGGGCCUGCAAGGUCCAGCUCAGAACAAACUCCCAGGGAUGGGUCAGGCAGAAGUUACUCACUGACUCCAUGUCCCUCAGCACUGUUAGAUGAAAGCAGCAAGCAAGCAGAGUGUCUCAUCAAAGGGUCCAGAGAUGGAGAGACCCACGCAUGGUUCUGACAAAGUGGGAAGAGCUCUGAACGAUUUAUAUGGGAGCCCAGAAGUUGUGCUAGGCAAAGUUCUCAAGGCUAGCUCUGAGACAGGGAUGCAAACUUGCCACAUGAGACACCCAAGAAGUGACAUGACUCAUGAAGUGUUUCCCCGGUGGGACCAUGAAAGAAGCAGCUAGAAGACACCCUUAAAAAAACACUCAAGAAGCAAGUGGAAGCAUACCGAUGACAGUAAGGUUGUCAGUGGCAUUUUCUUUUCACGGAAUACAAAUGGACCAUACUUUGCUGCACACUAAAAACUCAGACAAAUAUGGAAACUUGGAAAAAAAAAUCCUUGAAUGAGUCAACCACCUGCAAGAAAACUUGUAAAGGGUAUCCUUCCUUCCUGGAUCCCACCACUCAGAAGGUGCUGGAAACACAUCUUACAAGACACCUGGUGAGGCUCACAUGGAGCCUUCCCCUCAGAAGCCUCAAGACCAUACAUGCUUUCAACAUGAACAAGGCUAUAGCUUGGCCCUUUCCACGGCACUCCUCUUUGUCCUCCUGAGAGUCAAGAAAUGACUCCAUUGACAAAAUGACCAGUGUCCUGGGAGAAGCUUUUCAGAAAGCCCCAGAGGAGAAAAUGAUGAAAAUAACCACCACUGUGGAAUCUCUUUCCAUACAGAUCCCUCUUUCUGCCCUCCAGCUCAAAUUCCUGAGAAAGGCUCCAUGUAGUGACAACUCUGGACCCUCUGAGGCACCUAUGACUGUUGAGGAGGACAAUAUAACUUCUGUGUCCACCCUACAGAGUCUCCUGGGCAGAGCCCAGGACCUUGGACAGACAACCCAGAGCCAAAUCCAGGCCUAGUCAAGUGUGUGUGAGUCACAGGAGAGUAAGGUGUGGCUUUUAGAGAUAUCUACCAUGAAGUGUCAGUUCGGGAGAUCAGUGUGGCAUCCUAGCCACCCAGCAGCAGGGAUAUGAGGGAGCUGGGUGAGGCAGAGGAGGAAGAGUCCUGUGACUGGACAAUCACCAUGGAAGCUGGGGAGAUGGCAAAAUCUCCAACCAACACUGGACAUUGCCUGCUAGAAUCAUUUCCCAGGAUCCAGAAGACUCGGGCCCGAGCACAUCUCACUGCUCAGCCCUGGUGUUGUCUUGCAGGACUGUGCCACUGGAACACUCUUUGAAGACUGUGACCCCAGGGUCUGCUUCUUACAGAUCCCCUGGCCUCCAGGGCCUCCCAGUCCAGCUUAGAGACUGUGUCUGCUUUAAGCCAAGUCAACCUCCCAUGACAGGGAUCCUUGGAAGCCCAUAUUCACCUCAAUGGAGGCUGCCAGCAUGCUGAGUUCUCCAGGCCCUCCCAGCUCAGUCAGGAGGGCAAAGCAGUAUUACCCUGUCCUAUGUCUGCCUUCAAUGCCAGAACGGUGGUCAGCAUGACACUGUCAACUUUCCAGGAGGGCAGCAGCUACAGAGACCCCUGGUCAUUUGCCAUUCCUUCUGGUCCACUGGAUAUACAGGACCCAUCUGACUGUGGGCAGGGGCCGAAUAUUUGGUAUGGAGACGAUUUUAUAAUACCACAACCAAUCAAGUACAAAGUGUGGACUGCAGUUCCAAUGGAUACAAGCACAAAACAAUUCCCUCACCUUAUGUUGAAGAUGCCAAAAGGAGGAACCCCCAGCCCUCUGAGAACAGCUACUCCCAUCACCAGCAAGGGUCACUAUGACCUAGAAGAAAGCAGAGUGGUGUGCCAUAUUAGUUGUGGCCAUCAUGCCAUCCCCAGAGGUGACAGUCAUUCAAUGAAGAACAGCUUUCAGCGCGUGGCUUCUGUCUGCACUAAGCUGGGCACAAGGCAAGGUCAGCAUUUGGUUGUCCUUGAAGCAGCUUCUAGAAGUGAAGGGCACAGAGACAUGACAGUGGCACUGAGACUCAUGCUCACCCCACAUCCCUAGCUGCAGCUAAGGCUUGCCAUCCCAGCAUCAGAGAAACCGUCGUAGAAAACCUUCACAUAUGUGGAGAUGCACUAAUCUGCCAGCGACCCCCCACCACUGGGUCUUGCUCAACCUGCCCCUCUGGUUUUGUCCUACAUUUGUGCCUGUGAAGGUAUGGCUGUGCAGAGGCACAAGAAGGCCCAAUAGCUCACAUGCCACAAGGAGGGUUCAGGAAUGUUGGGGUGUGGUGGUCUUCAGCUAAAAUUUGGAAGACUCCUGCAUCUAGUCUCCUGAGGGAAAUGAAUCCCCAGGAGCAAAGCCCAUGCUCUCCCUGCUGGAGCCAGUAGAAGCCACAGAGUCUCCCACCAUGAGAAGGCCACAGUCACCGUUUUCCUAACUUAUGUGCAUGUGUGUGCCUGUUUGUUUAUAUGUGCACAGCACAGCUGCAUUGUCUGUGGAGGCUUCAGAUCCCUGCAACUGGAGUUACGGGCAGCUGUGCACCACUUGAUGUGAGCACCGGGAACCAAACCCAGGUCCUCAGCUAGUGUUCCUAACUGAUGAGCUUUCUCCCCAGCUCCUCCACAUUUCUCUUUAGAAACUGAUAGAGCCCACCCAAGGUUCCCCUUAGACACGCCCUCCAGACCUUCACAUACCCCACAGAGACCCCUAGACACUCCCCCAUGGACAUUUAGGGACAUCCACACAGAGAACCCCAAAGUUCCCUCUCAGACCCUCUCUUCCAGACCUUCAAGCGCCCUCCAUAGAGACUUCUGGCCAACACAGAAACACAUGUAAUAACACCCUCAACACCAGCAAUAGCACGUGAGCUCCAGAGCCCACAGAGAUCUCACAGAAACCCUUACAUUCUCAUGUCAUCAUGCCAGCCACACUACACAAAGACUGGAAUAUGCUAACAUGUCGUCCAGGAAAGGUGGCCUACUAGGCCUCUUGAUUCUGACUUCACCUGGCUCCAGCCAUUUGCUGUCAUCUGCGGUGAUGACGCCAAAGCACCUGCUCCCUUAGCUCAGGACCUGGACUCCCCACCACCUGUUCAUUGAAGCCUUAACGAUCUUUACCAUUCCUCAGCAAUGGUCACAUGACCCCAAGAUGACUCUCAACUUGGGGAUCCUUCUGAAGCUUUGGAAUAAGCACCCCACACACUACCCUUCUAUUCCUGGGGUAACCAGCUGAACAUUUCACACAUCAUUUUCACUAUCAUGGAAGCUCAGAGGGAAGCAUGCUCAGGUUUUGUAUACCAUGGUCCCUGGAGUGAGGCAAACUUUAGUGGUUUCCCUUGCUUCAGCUAUAAAACAGGGCAGCGGGUGAGUGUUAAUACUGCAUGAAGGGAAAUGAGUUGCAAGACUGAAACACUAUGGUAGCCUUCUGGAUCAUUUUCCUAUCAUUCUUUUUUUGUGUGUGUGUGCAUUGUCACUGAUGUGAUUUUCACUGCUAAACCAUACACAAUAAAGUUUUUCCAAUAAAAUCAAACAAUGUCAUUUUAGCACAAAAGUUAGCAUUUGUAUCUAUUAGAAAGUCACAGUACACACAAUAAAAUAAUCUGCAUAAUCUUUCAGGUCAUUUUUUUCCACGUCACUUCCUGGCACAUGGCACGCACAGGGCUUACCUAACUUCCUCUGAUGGUAAAGGUCUCGUCCACAAUCCCAAAGCAUUUGCAGCUUUGACCUUGAAAACAUGGGCCUUACGGGGUUUGGCCCUUCCAAGC